RNAcentral lists this non-coding RNA (84 nucleotides) under Metabacillus litoralis. RNAcentral's name for it is "Bacillus litoralis c-di-GMP sequence". It matches the Rfam family "c-di-GMP-I riboswitch aptamer". Rfam says of the family: GEMM was predicted in a large-scale screen for bacterial structured RNA regulatory elements. Genes associated with GEMM are involved in a diverse array of functions, including chemotaxis regulation, signal transduction, secretion and chitin. Lineage: Bacteria; Bacillati; Bacillota; Bacilli; Caryophanales; Bacillaceae. The record is from RNAcentral.
AACAGAAAAGGGCAAACCUUUCAAAAGAUAGGGUCGCAAAGCUACAGGUCUAAGGUGAUCAACUAUGAUGGCUGAGCUGCUUAA